GAGAGCCGUGUGAUAGGUGAUUAUCCAGCUCGGUUCGGAGAGCAAUUUUUGUUUGGUCUGCGCUGGUGAAUGGAAGCGAGAGUAGGUAAGUACUAGCAAGGUCACUCUAA
Populus trichocarpa (black cottonwood) is the source of this 110-nucleotide non-coding RNA. NCBI's taxonomy places the organism in Eukaryota, Viridiplantae, Streptophyta, Magnoliopsida, Malpighiales, Salicaceae. The record is from Rfam.